This is a long non-coding RNA of Mesocricetus auratus (golden hamster), 576 nucleotides long. RefSeq lists it as uncharacterized. The transcript is spliced from 3 exons. The record is from RefSeq and is a predicted model, not a curated record. Lineage: Eukaryota; Metazoa; Chordata; Mammalia; Rodentia; Cricetidae.
AGUCAUGAAGACACUUUAUUUGUAGGCAUCAAGAGCUGGGCCUCUGAUCUGACGGCACCCAGGCCUCUUCUUGUGCGGAGACGGUGGUAAGAGCAGGGAGGCUGCCCAAGGACUCUGUCAGGCCAAGGGGGAGAGAGCUAAGACAUGCCCUGCACCUGUCCUGUCAAGCUAGCCGUGAGCACCUCCCAGAAGCUCCGAGGAAGCUGGAGAAGACAGACGCAGGCAGCUGUCUCUGGGUCGUGGGACGAAAAAGACGUGAGGUCCAGUGUCUCCAGGGAGGGGACUGGAGCCUUGGAAAGCCGAGUCUCAGGAGUCUGAAAAUCUCCCCCACAGAGUGGUUGAUGAGCUUCCGCAGAAACUAAGCCCUCACAAAAACUGCCUCACAAAAUUGCUGUGUAGAGAGCGUGGCCAGGCCUGUGGAGAGGACUCCAUCAGCCGAGCACUUGCUGUGCGAGCAUGAGGAACUGAGUUCAGAGCUCAGAACCCGUGUAACGUAGCAGGCAGGACACAGUGAGCACACUGGUACUCUCAACUCUGGGGAGGCAGAAACCAGCCAGUUCUGUCGCCGGCCAACCA